CAGUCGCCGCGGUAAUACAGAGGGUGCGAGCGUUAAUCGGAUUUACUGGGCGUAAAGCGUGCGUAGGCGGCUUCUUAAGUCGGAUGUGAAAUCCCUGAGCUUAACUUAGGAAUUGCAUUCGAUACUGGGAAGCUAGAGUAUGGGAGAGGAUGGUAGGAUUCCAGGUGUAGCGGUGAAAUGUGUAGAGAUCUGGAGGAAUACCGAUGGCGAAGGCAGCCAUCUGGCCUAAUACUGACGCUGAGGUACGAAAGCAUGGGGAGCAAACAGGAUUAGAUACCCCCGUAGUCCCUGUCUCUUAUAU
Molecule: ribosomal RNA, 301 nt
Filed under: uncultured bacterium
Lineage: Bacteria
Description: partial 16S ribosomal RNA
Rfam family: Bacterial small subunit ribosomal RNA
Source: RNAcentral